Molecule: ribosomal RNA, 352 nt
Filed under: uncultured bacterium
Lineage: Bacteria
Description: bacterial SSU rRNA
Rfam family: Bacterial small subunit ribosomal RNA
Source: RNAcentral
AGAGUUUGAUCAUGGCUCAGGAUGAACGCUAGCGGCAGGCUUAACACAUGCAAGUCGAGGGGCAGCAUAAUGGAUAGCAAUAUCUAUGGUGGCGACCGGCGCACGGGUGCGUAACGCGUAUGCAACCUACCUUUAACAGGGGGAUAACACUGAGAAAUUGGUACUAAUACCCCAUAAUAUCAUAGAAGGCAUCUUUUAUGGUUGAAAAUUCCGAUGGUUAGAGAUGGGCAUGCGUUGUAUUAGCUAGUUGGGUGGGGUAACGGCUCACCAAGGCGACGAUACAUAGGGGGACUGGAGAGGUUAACCCCCCACACCUGGUACUGAGACACGGACCAGACUCCUACGGGAGGCA